UACGGGGGGGGUAAGCGUUGUCCGGAUUUACUGGGCGUAAAGAGCGCGCAGGCGGUCGUUCAAGUCGAGUGUGAAAGCCCCCGGCUCAACUGGGGAGGGUCAUUCGAUACUGAUCGACUCGAAGGCAGGAGAGGGAAGCGGAAUUCCCGGUGUAGUGGUGAAAUGCGUAGAUAUCGUAAGGAAGACCAGUGGCGAAGGCGGGUCUCUGGACAGUUCCUGACACUGAGACGCGAAAGCGUGGGGAGCGAACAGG
This 253-nucleotide ribosomal RNA is filed under the name uncultured bacterium. Its description in RNAcentral is "partial 16S ribosomal RNA". It matches the Rfam family "Bacterial small subunit ribosomal RNA", at positions 524 to 776 of the family's 1533-position model. The record is from RNAcentral.